AGAGGAUGAGAAUUUAUGCCCCAGGGUAGGAAUGAUACUCCCCAAUUCAGGGCUGCAAAGCCCGUGUCUCAGCAGCCAGUGUUUGCUGAGGUGGGGCUGGGGUAUGGCAUUCCCUGCGUGAUCUCUGCUUUGUGAACCAAGAAAAACACAUGGAAAUUAAAGCUUCUGUUACUCUCCCCCUCCAAGCAACAUGACCUUUCCCCAGGUGCUGGGUUUCUCUGACUGGAUGACUUUAUGAGUCCUUGUAAUCAAAGCCACCUUUUCACUUCGUUCUGCACUUCCCAUCUGCCAUUCCCACCCCAGGUGUGAUUAGUCCCAUUGCUUACUAAAGGGUUUUCCCUCUCAAACCCCUUUUCCAAGGCAAGAUGGGGGGUUUGGCUGCACCCCUCAUCAGCCCUGCUGUGGCAAUGCUGGAUCACUCCCAUAGCCACUACUAGAUAGGAGACCAAGACAUGCUACAGGAACAAAGCUCAGCUUCCCUGACAUCUGCAAACAGGAAUGGUUUGGGGGCUCUUGUGUUCCAAUGAGCAUUUUACUAUGCCAAACCAUGAGAGAAAUCAAGCAAGGGAAAGGGAGAGGAGUCAGCAGGGCUACAAGGGGCUACACUCAAGGAAAUGGAAAGUGAUCAUUUUAACACACUUAGUGUCUGCCAAAGGUGCCAUAGCACUGGGAGCCCUUUCUCUUAUGAGCACCUAUAUAAAUAGAAAGCCUUAUAUGGAAAGAAAGGAGAAGCAGGUUCUCAAGACUGUCCUUGUUGCUACUGUGAUUGGCAAUCUGCUUCUGAAUGCAUAGGAUGAAGCAUUAUUCAAUGGAAAAAGUUACUAGAGGUCUGUUGGAAUCUUUCCAUGAAUGCCUCAUCUGCAAAAAUUACAUCAGAUCAAGAAAAAGGAAAGUGAGCUAAGCAGAAAGGCAUUCACAACAGGUGCAGAGCAAACUGGACAGCACAUUCCUGAUCCCCUCUGCCAGCUACAGGACACACUGCAGUGUCUCUCCUCACUGAUCUUGGACCAGAGGAGACUGGCACUGUCAAAGAGUCCUGAUGGACAUUGCCUUUCCUUUUUAGUUCCCUGGGGCUCCCAUCCACCUAUCUGUGCUGCUUACAUCCCCAGCAGCAGAGCAAAAAAAGAGCCAGUGGUAUUUCAUGCCGGACCACUGAAUGAUUCCAAGCUACCCAAACUAUUCUGGAGCUCAUUUGUUCCCCCAUUGUUAUCUCUAAAGUGCAGUUUGAUGGAGUCUCCAUGUUACA
This is a long non-coding RNA of Passer domesticus (house sparrow), 1246 nucleotides long. RefSeq lists it as uncharacterized. The transcript is spliced from 3 exons. The record is from RefSeq and is a predicted model, not a curated record. Lineage: Eukaryota; Metazoa; Chordata; Aves; Passeriformes; Passeridae.